Schistosoma haematobium is the source of this 45-nucleotide non-coding RNA. The record is from Rfam. Lineage: Eukaryota; Metazoa; Platyhelminthes; Trematoda; Strigeidida; Schistosomatidae.
AUCGUGUUGACGAGUUUUAAAUAAGACGAAACGCGCGUCUUGGAU